This 253-nucleotide ribosomal RNA is filed under the name uncultured bacterium. Its description in RNAcentral is "partial 16S ribosomal RNA". It matches the Rfam family "Bacterial small subunit ribosomal RNA", at positions 524 to 776 of the family's 1533-position model. The record is from RNAcentral.
UACGGAGGGUGCAAGCGUUGUCCGGAAUCAUUGGGCGUAAAGAGCGUGUAGGCGGCCAGAUAAGUCCGCUGUGAAAUCUCGAGGCUCAACUUCGAGCUGUCGGUGGAAACUGUCUGGCUAGAGUCCGGAAGAGGAGAAUGGAAUUCCUGGUGUAGCGGUGAAAUGCGCAGAUAUCAGGAAGAACACCCGUGGCGAAGGCGGUUCUCUGGGACGGUACUGACGCUGAGACGCGAAAGCGUGGGGAGCGAACAGG